Catharus ustulatus (Swainson's thrush) is the source of this 375-nucleotide non-coding RNA. Lineage: Eukaryota; Metazoa; Chordata; Aves; Passeriformes; Turdidae. The record is from the annotation of a RefSeq genome assembly.
CCCGCAGGGCUCCGGGCGGCCGUGACCCUGCUGGAGUGCGGGGGGGACCUCCAGCCCCCCGGGGGGUCCCUGACUCUGCUCUGCCGCACAUCUGGGUUCAAUUUCAGGAGUUACAAUAUGAUGUGGAUCCGCCAGAGCCACGAGAAGACUCUGGAAUGGGUUGCAGAGAUCUACAGCAACAGGGGCUACACCGGCUACGCGCCAUCAGUGCGGGGCCGGUUCUCGAUCUCCAGGGACAACGGGCAGAGCUCGGUGACGCUGACCAUGAACAACCUCAAGGACGAGGAUUCCGCCGUUUAUUUCUGCGCCAAAUCUACUGGUAGUGGUACUGGUUGGGCUGGUGCUAAACACGUUCAUGGUUUUCACCCCAUCUGA